ACACGAGAAGGGAGGUGGUUCGGCAGAUGUAUGAAUACCGGACGCGUGAGGUGGCUGCUGCGGGCUAGCGGCCCGCCACCACAUCCAGUGCGGUGCCGGGCCAGCACGUGACAGACGCGUGCAGCCGGCCCCAAUCCCAGCAGUCACCCGACCCGCGAGUCGCCGGUACGUCCGGCCGGCUCCUCCCCGGAGGAACCAGACUCGCGGGUCGCCUGCG
Molecule: small RNA, 217 nt
Filed under: Streptomyces sp. AS58
Lineage: Bacteria; Bacillati; Actinomycetota; Actinomycetes; Kitasatosporales; Streptomycetaceae
Description: Actinobacteria sRNA Ms_IGR-5
Rfam family: Actinobacteria sRNA Ms_IGR-5
Source: Rfam by way of RNAcentral